This is a transfer RNA of 84 nucleotides. It matches the Rfam family "tRNA". Rfam says of the family: Transfer RNA (tRNA) molecules are approximately 80 nucleotides in length. Their secondary structure includes four short double-helical elements and three loops (D, anti-codon, and T loops). Further hydrogen bonds mediate the characteristic L-shaped molecular structure. tRNAs have two regions of fundamental functional importance: the anti-codon, which is responsible for specific mRNA codon recognition, and the 3' end, to which the tRNAs corresponding amino acid is attached (by aminoacyl-tRNA synthetases). tRNAs cope with the degeneracy of the genetic code in two manners: having more than one tRNA (with a specific anti-codon) for a particular amino acid; and 'wobble' base-pairing, i.e. permitting non-standard base-pairing at the 3rd anti-codon position.
GCGCGGAUGGCGGAAUUGGUAGACGCACUUGCCUUAGGAGCAAGCGGGAGUAAUCCCAUGGAGGUUCAAGUCCUCUUCCGCGCA